UCAAAACUUAAAAAGGAAUGAGACUCUUUUCGCAUUGCAUCCGAUCCGAAUCCGAGAAACCUCGAUCCGAAGUAGCCGUAAUA
Maniola jurtina (meadow brown) is the source of this 83-nucleotide long non-coding RNA. RefSeq lists it as uncharacterized. NCBI's taxonomy places the organism in Eukaryota, Metazoa, Arthropoda, Insecta, Lepidoptera, Nymphalidae. The record is from RefSeq and is a predicted model, not a curated record. The transcript has 3 exons.